Pistacia vera is the source of this 181-nucleotide long non-coding RNA. RefSeq lists it as uncharacterized. The record is from RefSeq and is a predicted model, not a curated record. The transcript is spliced from 3 exons. NCBI's taxonomy places the organism in Eukaryota, Viridiplantae, Streptophyta, Magnoliopsida, Sapindales, Anacardiaceae.
UGCGCCUUCACUGCAAUAUCCACAACAGUACAAGCAAUGGAAAGAUUUUGAACACGAAUCCAUUUCGAUUCUAGGUGAAGCUGUUGUGCGCGUCUGAAGAUGGCGAAUGUUGUGGCAAACCAAGUGGGUGGUUCUUUUGGUGAUGCAAAUGAUGCCCAGAAAAAUGUGUUUGAUUUGUGUG